This 344-nucleotide ribosomal RNA is filed under the name uncultured bacterium. Its description in RNAcentral is "bacterial SSU rRNA". It matches the Rfam family "Bacterial small subunit ribosomal RNA", at positions 457 to 793 of the family's 1533-position model. The record is from RNAcentral.
UAGCGUAUUCGUUUGACGUUAGCGACAGAAGAAAGCACCGGCUAACUCCGUGCCAGCAGCCGCGGUAAUACGGAGGGUGCGAGCGUUAAUCGGAAUUACUGGGCGUAAAGCGCAUGCAGGUGGUUUGUUAAGUCAGAUGUGAAAGACCCGGGGCGUCAACCUCGGAAUAGCAUUUGAAACUAGGCAGACUAGAGUACUGUAGAGGGGGGUAGGAAUUUCAGGUGUAGCGGUGAAAAUGCGUAGAGAUCUGAAGGAAUACCGGUGGCGAAGGCGGCCCCCUCGGACAGAUACUGACACUCAGAUGCGAAAGCGUGGGGAGCAAACAGGAUUAGAUACCCUGGUAG